UGGGGAAUAUUGCACAAUGGGCGCAAGCCUGAUGCAGCCAUGCCGCGUGUAUGAAGAAGGCCUUCGGGUUGUAAAGUACUUUCAGCGGGGAGGAAGGCGAUAAGGUUAAUAACCUUGUCGAUUGACGUUACCCGCAGAAGAAGCACCGGCUAACUCCGUGCCAGCAGCCGCGGUAAUACGGAGGGUGCAAGCGUUAAUCGGAAUUACUGGGCGUAAAGCGCACGCAGGCGGUCUGUCAAGUCGGAUGUGAAAUCCCCGGGCUCAACCUGGGAACUGCAUUCGAAACUGGCAGGCUAGAGUCUCGUAGAGGGGGGUAGAAUUCCAGGUGUAGCGGUGAAAUGCGUAGAGAUCUGGAGGAAUACCGGUGGCGAAGGCGGCCCCCUGGACAAAGACUGACGCUCAGGUGCGAAAGCGUGGGGAGCAAACA
Molecule: ribosomal RNA, 427 nt
Filed under: uncultured bacterium
Lineage: Bacteria
Description: partial 16S ribosomal RNA
Rfam family: Bacterial small subunit ribosomal RNA
Source: RNAcentral